UUAAGCGACUAAGCGUACACGGUGGAUGCCCUGGCAGUCAGAGGCGAUGAAGGACGUGCUAAUCUGCGAUAAGCGUCGGUAAGGUGAUAUGAACCGUUAUAACCGGCGAUUUCCGAAUGGGGAAACCCAGUGUGUUUCGACACACUAUCAUUAACUGAAUCCAUAGGUUAAUGAGGCGAACCGGGGGAACUGAAACAUCUAAGUACCCCGAGGAAAAGAAAUCAACCGAGAUUCCCCCAGUAGCGGCGAGCGAACGGGGAGCAGCCCAGAGCCUGAAUCAGUGUGUGUGUUAGUGGAAGCGUCUGGAAAGGCGCGCGAUACAGGGUGACAGCCCCGUACACAAAAAUGCACAUGCUGUGAGCUCGAUGAGUAGGGCGGGACACGUGGUAUCCUGUCUGAAUAUGGGGGGACCAUCCUCCAAGGCUAAAUACUCCUGACUGACCGAUAGUGAACCAGUACCGUGAGGGAAAGGCGAAAAGAACCCCGGCGAGGGGAGUGAAAAAGAACCUGAAACCGUGUACGUACAAGCAGUGGGAGCACGCUUAGGCGUGUGACUGCGUACCUUUUGUAUAAUGGGUCAGCGACUUAUAUUCUGUAGCAAGGUUAACCGAAUAGGGGAGCCGAAGGGAAACCGAGUCUUAACUGGGCGUUAAGUUGCAGGGUAUAGACCCGAAACCCGGUGAUCUAGCCAUGGGCAGGUUGAAGGUUGGGUAACACUAACUGGAGGACCGAACCGACUAAUGUUGAAAAAUUAGCGGAUGACUUGUGGCUGGGGGUGAAAGGCCAAUCAAACCGGGAGAUAGCUGGUUCUCCCCGAAAGCUAUUUAGGUAGCGCCUCGUGAAUUCAUCUCCGGGGGUAGAGCACUGUUUCGGCAAGGGGGUCAUCCCGACUUACCAACCCGAUGCAAACUGCGAAUACCGGAGAAUGUUAUCACGGGAGACACACGGCGGGUGCUAACGUCCGUCGUGAAGAGGGAAACAACCCAGACCGCCAGCUAAGGUCCCAAAGUCAUGGUUAAGUGGGAAACGAUGUGGGAAGGCCCAGACAGCCAGGAUGUUGGCUUAGAAGCAGCCAUCAUUUAAAGAAAGCGUAAUAGCUCACUGGUCGAGUCGGCCUGCGCGGAAGAUGUAACGGGGCUAAACCAUGCACCGAAGCUGCGGCAGCGACGCUGAUGCGUUGUUGGGUAGGGGAGCGUUCUGUAAGCCUGUGAAGGUGUGCUGUGAGGCAUGCUGGAGGUAUCAGAAGUGCGAAUGCUGACAUAAGUAACGAUAAAGCGGGUGAAAAGCCCGCUCGCCGGAAGACCAAGGGUUCCUGUCCAACGUUAAUCGGGGCAGGGUGAGUCGACCCCUAAGGCGAGGCCGAAAGGCGUAGUCGAUGGGAAACAGGUUAAUAUUCCUGUACUUGGUGUUACUGCGAAGGGGGGACGGAGAAGGCUAUGUUGGCCGGGCGACGGUUGUCCCGGUUUAAGCGUGUAGGCUGGUUUUCCAGGCAAAUCCGGAAAAUCAAGGCUGAGGCGUGAUGACGAGGCACUACGGUGCUGAAGCAACAAAUGCCCUGCUUCCAGGAAAAGCCUCUAAGCAUCAGGUAACAUCAAAUCGUACCCCAAACCGACACAGGUGGUCAGGUAGAGAAUACCAAGGCGCUUGAGAGAACUCGGGUGAAGGAACUAGGCAAAAUGGUGCCGUAACUUCGGGAGAAGGCACGCUGAUAUGUAGGUGAAGUCCCUCGCGGAUGGAGCUGAAAUCAGUCGAAGAUACCAGCUGGCUGCAACUGUUUAUUAAAAACACAGCACUGUGCAAACACGAAAGUGGACGUAUACGGUGUGACGCCUGCCCGGUGCCGGAAGGUUAAUUGAUGGGGUUAGCGCAAGCGAAGCUCUUGAUCGAAGCCCCGGUAAACGGCGGCCGUAACUAUAACGGUCCUAAGGUAGCGAAAUUCCUUGUCGGGUAAGUUCCGACCUGCACGAAUGGCGUAAUGAUGGCCAGGCUGUCUCCACCCGAGACUCAGUGAAAUUGAACUCGCUGUGAAGAUGCAGUGUACCCGCGGCAAGACGGAAAGACCCCGUGAACCUUUACUAUAGCUUGACACUGAACAUUGAGCCUUGAUGUGUAGGAUAGGUGGGAGGCUUUGAAGUGUGGACGCCAGUCUGCAUGGAGCCGACCUUGAAAUACCACCCUUUAAUGUUUGAUGUUCUAACGUUGACCCGUGAUCCGGGUUGCGGACAGUGUCUGGUGGGUAGUUUGACUGGGGCGGUCUCCUCCUAAAGAGUAACGGAGGAGCACGAAGGUUGGCUAAUCCUGGUCGGACAUCAGGAGGUUAGUGCAAUGGCAUAAGCCAGCUUGACUGCGAGCGUGACGGCGCGAGCAGGUGCGAAAGCAGGUCAUAGUGAUCCGGUGGUUCUGAAUGGAAGGGCCAUCGCUCAACGGAUAAAAGGUACUCCGGGGAUAACAGGCUGAUACCGCCCAAGAGUUCAUAUCGACGGCGGUGUUUGGCACCUCGAUGUCGGCUCAUCACAUCCUGGGGCUGAAGUAGGUCCCAAGGGUAUGGCUGUUCGCCAUUUAAAGUGGUACGCGAGCUGGGUUUAGAACGUCGUGAGACAGUUCGGUCCCUAUCUGCCGUGGGCGCUGGAGAACUGAGGGGGGCUGCUCCUAGUACGAGAGGACCGGAGUGGACGCAUCACUGGUGUUCGGGUUGUCAUGCCAAUGGCACUGCCCGGUAGCUAAAUGCGGAAGAGAUAAGUGCUGAAAGCAUCUAAGCACGAAACUUGCCCCGAGAUGAGUUCUCCCUGACUCCUUGAGAGUCCUGAAGGAACGUUGAAGACGACGACGUUGAUAGGCCGGGUGUGUAAGCGCAGCGAUGCGUUGAGCUAACCGGUACUAAUGAACCGUGAGGCUUAACCU
This 2901-nucleotide ribosomal RNA is filed under the name Escherichia coli. RNAcentral's name for it is "23S ribosomal RNA". It matches the Rfam family "Bacterial large subunit ribosomal RNA". Lineage: Bacteria; Pseudomonadati; Pseudomonadota; Gammaproteobacteria; Enterobacterales; Enterobacteriaceae. The record is from RNAcentral.